This 180-nucleotide long non-coding RNA is filed under the name Papio anubis (olive baboon). RNAcentral describes it as "lncRNA (ENSPANG00000037038.1)". The record is from RNAcentral. Lineage: Eukaryota; Metazoa; Chordata; Mammalia; Primates; Cercopithecidae.
UAUAUCACCUAAAAUCUGCUUAUUCCUCCAGGGGGAAAAGGAAAAAACUCGCUUCUGAGCAGCGCCCUGAGUUGCUUUGUUAACUGCUAGCGCUUCCCCACAACCCUGAGAUUUGGAAGGAUGCUGUGUUGGGAAUCGCUGAUCUGAAACAGUGUGCUUCCCUCUGUGCCUCCCUAGUAU